This is a non-coding RNA of Leptonychotes weddellii (Weddell seal), 354 nucleotides long. The record is from RefSeq and is a predicted model, not a curated record. NCBI's taxonomy places the organism in Eukaryota, Metazoa, Chordata, Mammalia, Carnivora, Phocidae.
GUGUGUUUUUCCUUUUAGGUUCAAGAAUUGACCAAGGAAUGGACAAAUAAGUGGAAUGAAACCCAAAAUAUUUUGAAAGAACAAACUUUAGCCCUUAGGAAAGAAGGGAUUGGAGUUGUUUUGGAUUCUGAACUACCCCAUUUGAUUGGCAUUGAUGAUGACCUUCUGAGUACUGGAAUCAUAUUAUAUCACUUGAAGGAAGGCCAGACAUAUGUUGGUAGAGAAGAUGCUUCAACAGAACAAGAUAUUGUUCUUCAUGGCCUCGACUUGGAGAGUGAGCACUGCAUCUUUGAAAAUGUUGGGGGAACGGUGACUCUGAUACCCCUGAGUGGGUCUCAGUGCUCUGUGAAUGGU